Molecule: ribosomal RNA, 442 nt
Filed under: Escherichia coli
Lineage: Bacteria; Pseudomonadati; Pseudomonadota; Gammaproteobacteria; Enterobacterales; Enterobacteriaceae
Description: bacterial LSU rRNA
Rfam family: Bacterial large subunit ribosomal RNA
Source: RNAcentral
GUNGGGAACUGAAACAUCUAAGUACCCCGAGGAAAAGAAAUCAACCGAGAUUCCCCCAGUAGCGGCGAGCGAACGGGGAGCAGCCCAGAGCCUGAAUCAGUGUGUGUGUUAGUGGAAGCGUCUGGAAAGGCGCGCGAUACAGGGUGACAGCCCCGUACACAAAAAUGCACAUGCUGUGAGCUCGAUGAGUAGGGCGGGACACGUGGUAUCCUGUCUGAAUAUGGGGGGACCAUCCUCCAAGGCUAAAUACUCCUGACUGACCGAUAGUGAACCAGUACCGUGAGGGAAAGGCGAAAAGAACCCCGGCGAGGGGAGUGAAAAAGAACCUGAAACCGUGUACGUACAAGCAGUGGGAGCACGCUUAGGCGUGUGACUGCGUACCUUUUGUAUAAUGGGUCAGCGACUUAUAUUCUGUAGCAAGGUUAACCGAAUAGGGGAGCCG